This 253-nucleotide ribosomal RNA is filed under the name uncultured bacterium. RNAcentral describes it as "partial 16S ribosomal RNA". It matches the Rfam family "Bacterial small subunit ribosomal RNA", at positions 524 to 776 of the family's 1533-position model. The record is from RNAcentral.
UACGUAGGGUGCAAGCGUUGUCCGGAAUUAUUGGGCGUAAAGAGCUCGUAGGCGGUUUGUCGCGUCGGCUGUGAAAACCUGAGGCUCAACCUCGGGCCUGCAGUCGAUACGGGCAAACUAGAGUUCGGUAGGGGAGACUGGAAUUCCUGGUGUAGCGGUGGAAUGCGCAGAUAUCAGGAGGAACACCGAUGGCGAAGGCAGGUCUCUGGGCCGAUACUGACGCUGAGGAGCGAAAGCGUGGGGAGCGAACAGG